This 502-nucleotide ribosomal RNA is filed under the name Protobothrops cf. cornutus. Its description in RNAcentral is "partial 16S ribosomal RNA". It matches the Rfam family "Bacterial large subunit ribosomal RNA", at positions 1816 to 2597 of the family's 2925-position model. The record is from RNAcentral. Lineage: Eukaryota; Metazoa; Chordata; Lepidosauria; Squamata; Viperidae.
AACCUUUAGCCAAACAAGUAUUAAAGGCGACGCCUGCCCAGUGAACUAUUAAACGGCCGCGGUAUCCUAACCGUGCAAAGGUAGCAUAAUCAUUUGUCUAUUAAUUGUAGACCUGUAUGAAAGGCAAAAUGAGAGCCCAACUGUCUCUUAUAACAAAUCAAUUAAACUGAUCUCCUAGUACAAAAGCUAGAAUAACAACAUAAGACCAGAAGACCCUGUGAAGCUUUAACAAACCUAUUAAACCUGAUAAUAAUUACUUUCGGUUGGGGCGACCUUGGAACAAAAAAGAACUUCCAACACAUGACUUCAUCAUAAAACAGGCAUACAAGCCAUAUUAGACCCAGCACAGCUGAUAAUUGAAAUAAGUUACUCCAGGGAUAACAGCGCCAUCUUCUUUAAGAGCCCAUAUCAAAAAGAAGGUUUACGACCUCGAUGUUGGAUCAGGACAUCCCAGUAAUGCAGUCGUUACUAAAGGUUCGUUUGUUCAACGAUUAACAGUCCU